Bombus pascuorum is the source of this 8796-nucleotide RNA transcript. It is a transcript of the gene named syntaxin-1A, with no coding region annotated. The transcript is spliced from 10 exons. The record is from RefSeq and is a predicted model, not a curated record. Lineage: Eukaryota; Metazoa; Arthropoda; Insecta; Hymenoptera; Apidae.
GAGUAUAGUUGACGUCAGCGGCGCAUGCGCAACAGAACGGACGGCACUGCAGAAGCAGCCGAGUUCGCGAGUGUAUCGAUUUUACGAUCGUGUCUCUCGCCGCUAGUGCGUCCGUUUCCUUUAGUUUUUAGUGGUCGUGCUCAUAGUACAUGGAUAAAAUCGUGAAUGGGAUUAGUCACUAGUCUCAUCGUUCCGUACACCCGCUGACUCGCAACACUUUGCCACCCUCGCCAUGACUAAGGAUAGAUUAGCAGCCCUCGUUGCGGCCCAGUCGGACGACGAUGACGUGGCGGACGAUGUUUCCGUCAACGUUGGCGGGCCAGAUGAUUUUAUGACCGAAUUUUUCGCGGAGGUGGAGGAGAUCCGCGAAAUGAUAGACAGGAUCCAGACGAACGUAGAGGAUGUGAAGAAAAAACAUAGUGCCAUCUUAUCGGCACCACAAACCGACGAAAAGGUUAAAAUGGAAUUGGAAGACCUGAUGUCCGAUAUCAAGAAAACGGCCAAUAAAGUCAGAGCUAAGUUGAAGGUGAUAGAACAAAAUAUCGAGCAAGAAGAGCACACGAACAAAUCUUCGGCGGAUUUGAGGAUACGCAAGACACAGCAUUCGACGCUUUCGAGGAAGUUCGUCGAAGUAAUGACGGAGUACAAUCGAACGCAAACCGAUUACAGAGAACGGUGUAAGGGAAGGAUACAACGACAGCUGGAAAUCACCGGUAGGACGACCACCAACGAGGAACUGGAGGAAAUGCUGGAACAAGGAAAUCCGGCGGUGUUCACGCAGGGGAUUAUCAUGGAAACGCAACAAGCGAAACAGACGCUCGCCGAUAUCGAGGCGCGUCAUGCCGACAUCAUUAAACUAGAAAAUUCGAUCAGGGAACUUCACGAUAUGUUCAUGGACAUGGCGAUGUUGGUAGAAAGUCAGGGUGAGUUAGUGGACCGCAUUGAAUACCUCGUGGAUCAAACCGGCGACCACGUUGGCCAAGCCUGGGAGGAGCUGAUCAAGGCCGAGGAGUAUCGAAGCAAAGCUCGUAAGAAAUUGAUGUUCAUCGUAAUUUGCCUGACAAUAGCGAUCAUCAUUCUCAUAAUCAUUCUGGUAUAUGCGUUGUAAGAAGAUAGAUCGACGAUACGAGGAUUUCAGUGAAGCGGUACGAAAGCGAACACGAAAGUGGACCAUGAAAGAAAAGUAAAAAAAAAAGACAAAAAAGAGGAAAGGCAAUGUUUUCGUUGAAUGGCAGGGCACACACACACACCCAGCCACCUCGCAGAAAAAGGUCGCGAACUAGCAACAGCUGCGGCGUUUUCGCGUAUACGCGUCGUACGUUUCGAAAGCGAACACGCCGGACGCUGUCGACGAUUUAGAAAUACUCGCACGAGUUCUCCUCGUAUUCGAUUCGUUUGCUCGAGAAUCGCGUACGCGGUCGAUGCUAAGUGCGCGCUCGUGUGCGACGCCGUUUUAAACGUCUUCCCCGAUUUUCUCGUAACCGUGUCCAGAAUUAUUAUGAAAUUUGUGUAUUUCCAGCUACGUACCUUGUCGCGUAUAAAAGUGAUCGCGUAGCACGCGUAGCCGUGGCUCGUCGAAGGUACACGAAGGUACACGAAGGUGGAUGAUGAAACCAGACGACGAUCGGUCCCAAUCGCGCGAAACGAAUUUCCAGUUAAUUUCGCACGAUCCUAAAAUAAGUAGGCGAUUGGUACGAAAGAGGUACAUGUAACGACGAUAUUUAGGGCGGAUAAUCUCGUUAACCAGAAAUUUACGAUUUUCUCGUAUCUGAACGCGUAUCGUGUCUAUGCAGCGAUGCGAAAAGAGAGCAAAAUAAAAAAAAAAAAAAAAAACGAAAAGAGAGAAGCGAACGCGCGAAUCUAGGAUUCGUUUGAUGCGACACGAUCGGACGAUCCGGCGAGAUUUGGGAGGAUCAAGAGCACACGAACAGUUUGCCAGCAAGUGGUCAGUGACACACGCAGAGAGGCAUGCGAAACACGUGCGAUUUAAAAAGAAGAUCGAAUACGAUGUUUGCGUGGGUGUUGUGUACGCGUAAAGAGAAGAAAGAAGGGAGGCGUGAUGCAACGUGGCGUGUAGCAUAUACCACCGAGGAGAUCAAAGUAGUUACGAUAGGAACGAACCGCUAAAUUGCGUACCGUGUUGAUAAUCGAUCAUUAUGUUUUUGUCGAUGCAUUGAUGCCGAGCGCAGAAGAAGAUCAUGAUCAUGGUCUGCCUUGCUAUACUCGCCGUCGUUCUGACUACCACCAUCGGUGGAUAUUUUGGGCUGUAAACGCCGCACCCAGACAAAUCCGAAGAAGUUGCCGUCGCGUUCGUCACGGCGAAACGUCGGCAACGUUCGAGUCCAGACAAAUCGGCCCGAAACAACAUUGGACACCUCGGCCGUUCCAAGUCGCACGAUCGUCGUCGACUGGAACUUCGCCAUUGUCAACGGCAACAGCAACAACACUGGCUCGAUCGCGAUGUUGUCGACAGGCCUUUUGUCCGCGCGUGCCGCUCCUCGUCCUACGGAUCGUCGCUGUAUUUUGCCUUCUGUUACGCUUACGCGUUAACGUAAACGCGUCCAACUUCUUCGUCAUCAGGAAGGAGGAAAGAAGAGGAAGAGGAGCAAAGAAAGGACGUAGACACGAAUUAAGAACGAGAACGGAAACGAGGAAAGCGAUAGCUGAUAGAACGAAGAAUCGCCGUCGUCGUUGUUUGUUUGCGCGAUCGUCGUUUGUCGCCUUAGCUUCGCCAUCGUUGACCGAAUCGCCGUCCUCCUUAGUUUCUUUCCGUUUUCACGCGCUUCCAUCGACAGACUCGAUGCGCGGAUAGUUUCGUCGCUAGCCUCGCUUCGUUCCACUUUCUAUCAUCGAGCGUAAAACUUAUUAACAGCGCCACAGUGAUCUGUCUUGGUAGGCUCGGUUUUCGCUAGAUCUCAACCUCGUCUUUACCCCUUUUUCCAACCUCUCCUUCCGUACGCGAUCGGUCAUUUCUCAAUUGCGGUAAAUAGCAAGUAGCGAGUAGCAAAUAGCAAAUAGGAAAUACCGACAGCCAGAAACGCGUACACGCGAGAAACGAUUAAAAGGCACGGACGACGUAUAGCGACGAAGCGACCUUGUUGUUCGACGACGUAUCGAAGCGGCAAAAUUCGUGUCGGAACGUCAACGAGCGAGCGGCGAAGCGAGUCCUUCGUCGAUCUCUCUUGAACGAUCACGGUGCCUAUCGCGAUUAUUGGUCGUUGCACGGCCGACAAUCAACGAGACGAGGAUGACACGCGUGAUGUUACGUCGGAGUCGAGCGACGAACGUCGUUUACUUUCGCUCGUACGCGAUCGAUUUUACUCGAGGCUACCGGGCCCUACGUACGUAGGUACGAGCGGAAAGAAAAUAAGCGGUGCUCUCGCGGGUGACCGCCUGCGAGAAUAGGUCGUAUCGAUGUAUCUCGUUCCGAGCCAAGCCUAACACCCAAUGGAGUUUUUCUGUAACGCGAGGCGUCGCGCGAGGCUACCGAGUAACCCUCUCGUUUUUCACGCCAUUUUCGGCGUGGUGCGCCGGCUCUGGUAGCCGUGUCCAAUUAAACCGACUACCUACCGAAGUGCAUUCUUUUGACUGUGAUUUUUAACCGAGCUUGGAAAUUAGUUCUUUACGGACCUCUCGAAUGUUUCGAACGCUUUCGAGCAUAGUCGCGCGAUAGUUUUCGAGACGCGCAUCACACGUACCCGAUCACUCGCCACAUAUCAUGUACUAUUCGAAGCGUGUAGAUUUCUAACGAGCCUUCCCUCUCUCGCUGCUUCUAACAUCGCCGCAACUGUCUUCGAUCGAACCGUGCCAGUUGCUAUAUCGCGUCGAGAUAAAAAUCGUCAACGAUGGUGACGUGUAAGUAAACGAACCGAGAGAACCCUCAUAUUCUCCGAACGAUAAGAAACGGCGAGACAAAGAACAGUUUGGCGAGACGCAUCAUUGGUAAAGACAGAGAACUCUGUUUACAUAGAAAAAAAGAAGAAAAGAAACAAAACCGUAUAUGUAGCUAGACCACGCGAGAGCGCAAAGGACGAAUUUCCAAGCGCGUCGCAACGUUAGGAUAGCUUUCGUUCGACGAAAUACGUAUACACCUAAGUAGUUUGUUUCUCGCUUUCGACGUGGCGUCAUCAUCGACUGGUCGAUGCAAGUUCAGACCGGUUAAUCGAGAACGACGAGUCGAAUAGUGGAACGUCAUUGACUUCGUGUUGCACGAAACGCCAUUAGGGUAUUGGGUUCGAUCGACCGAUCGGCGUAAUCGCUUUGCUUCCCUUCGCGAGAGGUCGCAACUCUUUCGAUCUUUGCCGAGUUUCGCGACUUUUCUCUCUCGAUUACACAUAACACAUACACACACACGCGCGCACACGCACGAGAGCCUGGUGUUUUGUUUUUGCAGUUCAGCUCGUGGAUAUUGAGUACGUUGUCAAGUACUCCGAAAUAAUCGGCCAAUGACCGAUUCAACGACAAUAACGACGGUACUACAACUACGACCAGGACUAUUACGACGACAAAGACUGGAACAUUCCUUUCGAUUUCGUUUCCGAUUGUCCUUUGUCCGAUUUAGUUGGAUUUCUGUUUCGCGAAUGAUCGGUCGAGAAGCGAAUAUCGGUUGAAAAUCGAAAAGAGCUUCUCGCGAGAAGCGUGCGUCGUUGUUGAAGCGAUCGGUCACACAGCGCAAGGAACAAGAUGCUGUUGAAGGACGCAAGGAAAUGGACGCAGAGACGAGGAACACGCGAUGAGGAGAGAAGAGGAGAUCUAUAAAGUUGCAGCAAUAAUAAGAUAUAGGUGUUACGGGAAACUAAUUAACGCUAAUACAAUCGUCGACGAUAAAAUCUGGAUCAUACCGAUGUAUGGUAUCUACACAAAGUGUAUACAUAUUUAUUGCUAUAUGUGUAUAUAUAUGUAUAUAUAUACACACAAAACACUCGUACGUAUAUACAGACAGAGAGAAUACACACACGAAAAGCGCGCGCAUGCGUGCGUAAUACCGUAGCUCACGAUUAUGAGCGCGAGACACGAACCAUGCAGUAACAUACACACACACACCCACACACACACAUACACGUACUCGCACACCUACACGAACCGCGCUAACGCGUUCACACAGAAAAAAUAAAAACAUAUUACAUGUAUAUAUAAAUAGGUAGUCGGCACAGUCGAAAAGAGUAAUAUAUUAACGAUGAUAAUUUAUUAUUCGCGACGCCUGUUGCUCGUGUAAACUGUCGUCUGAUAAUUGCUUUUCGGGCAAGAAAUGGGCGACGUUCGUGUUAAUGUUUUGUUGAUUAUAUUAUAUGAACGUUGAGGUACAUGCGUUUCAAAGAUUAUGGGUUAAUGUUUCAGAAUGAUAUAAGAAAGAGAUGAAACAGAGGUAAAUGGUUACGCUACACACAGGCCACGUUGCUGUAGCAACGAUAUUAAAAGUAGAAUGCGAUAAUGCGAUGAAGACGGCGAUACGAUGCUACGAUAAUAAUAAAAACGUGGCUAAUAUACAUGGUGAAAGGAGGGGGAACGUACGACACGAUCAUGAUGAUAAUGAUAACGAUAAUUAACGAUAUUUCAAAUCACUUUGCAUUGUACAGAAGCAUACUGAUUGUUAGUUUAGGUAGCUACGUUGCCACGAUCUAUUAUUUAAUCGUUGAAUACGAUUAAGGAAUAAGUAAAAAACGCGGAAAAUCCCUCUGUGACGAGUCGAUCGAUAUGCCUGGUUGUUCGAAUCGGAUCGGAUGGUAUUUUGUUGUUGUGGUCGCGAUCGCACUCGCGGUCAACGUCGUCGUCGUCGCCGUCGUCGUCGUCGUCGUCGUCGGCGGCGGAGAAGCAGGUGGAGGAGGAUCGCGAGAAGAAAAAUUUCUUUCGCUUUCGCGUAUGUGUGUUUUGUCGGUGGAAAGAAAGGGAACGAUAAGCGGCGGCGGUCCAUCUGUUCGACAGACACCCUCCUCCAAACUUGGUUGCUUCGCAUUUUGAAAUCGAAUCGAAUCGCGCGCACCAAGUGAUCGUGGUGAUUGCUUCGACGAACACGGUUGAUCGAUUGGUCGAUAAUCGUUGAUCCUCUCUCGGUGUUGGUUCGAUGCCGAUCUACGAUAUACAGGAACAAUCGUGAACACGUUAUCGGCCUUAAUGCGAUCGGUCGCGUAUCGCGUAUCCGCACCGAGACGAGGGAUCGUCGCAAACUCUCCCCUGUGCGCAUCAUUUUUGUAUAUAUCAGCCUUCGCGAUUUGGAGACAAGUCGUUCACCUUUUGUUCGACUAGCUUUAAAUCUCGCAUCUUGUCGUUAGCGUUUUUCUCAGACGCGUGCGCGCUCGUGUGUAGCGAUCCUCGCGAUAGGAAUUGAAGAAUCACAUUUACUUUCGUACCAUCGAAUAAGUUUUCCCGGCCACGAUAGAUUUAUAUGUAUAAUUUGUAAUAAGUGUAUGUAUCGUCGGUAAUCUCGACGGUCGGUAUGCGCAUAGAAUACGUAUUUUGGCCUAAAAAAAAAAAAAACUAGGAAAGAGGAACUUUCUCGUUCACACGUUAUAUAUAUAUAUAUAAUGUAUAUUUAUUUAUAUAUAUAUUACCUGUGGCUUCGUUGAUUUCCUUUCGUUCACGAGGAGAGAUUUCACGAGUGCGAAUCAAUCUUUGAUCUUAAUUCGCGCAACGGUACUGUCCGUCUGUCCAUCUGUCUGUCUAUCUGUCUUUCUUUCAUUUAUAUCCCUUUUCUUUCCUCCUAUCUUUAUUAUACGUUGUUGUUUCUGUUUUCCAAUAAAUAAAUAAAUAAAUAAAGCGAUCGAGACGGGAAACGCGUUUGCAUCCGAUGAACGUUAGCAACGCGAACUAACGAAAGACAAGACCGACAGAUGGGCUAAAGCGUGAGCCAAUCAGGAAGCAAACACGACAGCUAAAUGGGAAUUGUGACGAAGCAGAGGGAACGCUUUAGAAACCUCGAACACGACAAAGUAUCGAGAAUGUACAUUGGUCGUGUCGCAUCGGUGCAAUUAUUACUCUUCGAGAGACUAUUUCAAUAACCUUAUGAGUGUCAAUUCCACUUUCGAGCGUAAAUCGUAAGUUUGCGAAUGUUUUCAGACAAAAGAACAAACGAACAAAAAUAAAGAGCGACCGUGAUUGGGGUGUUGGUGUUAAAUCAUAACGAUAAGAGAGGUUACGUGGUCGUGUCUCUUGACUGCCACGCGGCAAAGUGAGAUUAUUAUAAUAAAUUUACAUUAUUGAGAAAACUAAUUAGGGAAUGAGAGAGUGGGAGAGGAAGGAGUAGAAAGCACGUACGUACGAACGAGCGAGCGAGCGAACGAGCGAACGAACGAGCGAACGAGCGAGCGCACGAACGAACGAACGAAAGCAAAGAAGUAAGAAAGUAAGAAAGUUGGGAAAAAAGGAAUGUGAAAAGAGAGAAUGAGAGGAAAAGUUUAGAAAGAGAAGCAACGUGCGAUCGGACGAAUGUACUGACAAACGAACGAACGAACGAUGUUUAAAAAGAUAAAAAAAAAAGUUUGAGCGAAAGAGUGCGUAUGCGUGCAUGCGAGAGAGAAACCGAUGCACGAAAGAGAUACUUUGAAGAAUUUAGCACGUUGAACAAUGGUAUGGAAAUACUUUUUAUCGUAGACACACUUCUAUUAGGCGAGAGAAUUACAAGGACGAUGAAAAGGCAAAAAAAUAGAAAAAGAAAAAGACAAAAAGAGACCUGUAUUAAGGAUUACUUAUUAAAUAAAUGAACGGUGUUUUUUCCGCCUAUGAGUCGUAUUUGCGUCGAGCGAGCACGGAUGCAUUCACUUCUCUUUCUCUCUCUCUGUUAAACGAGAACAGAACGAGAUAGAUCGUUAUUUCGUUUCCAUCUUUAAUGCGAUAUUAUUGUUAUUACCAUUAUUAUUAUCGACACUGUACAAAGUUGGCAAUAAUCUUAAGAGAUCCACCGUCGUAACGCGUUUACUAGCAGCUGUGUUUGACGACAGACAAAGAAAAAAAGGAGAGAAACGCGAGGCGAGGUCCGCGCUUGUCACCCAAUGGAGAGAAGAGAGCUCGUUGCAGCAUCGUCUAGGACUAAACAACGGGGCUGUCGAAAAUCUGACGCGCGAUCGAGCGAGGGUGGCGGUGUCCUUUCGGCAUCGCCUGAUCCUGCACAAAAAUAUGAACGCCUCUGCGAGCCUGUAUCGAAUAUACAUACGCAUUCCUGCACUAUAGACUGUAGCUCCUAUAGAUAUCCUAUAGGUCUGGCUCGCUUUGCAAUACAGAGGCUACCGAAGUUUCCAAGAAAAAAAAGUAAAAAGAGAAGAGAUGAAGGGAAAAAAGGGUACGACGAGUCCGCGCUCCGCGUGAGCGUUAAAUUGGCGAAUCGUCGAAUCUUCGUCUUUUUUUCGUCGUGAUACGAUAACCGUACAACAGUUUCGUCUCGACCUUUCGGGACAUUUUCGUCCUCUCUGACUCCCGAUUCGCCGAUUUUCCGUCGCGUUCUGCGAGUUAUCUUCGAUCUAUUGAUCUGCCGAAGCGACAACAAAAAUAAAAAAGAAAAAGAGUCAAGCGUUUACUGUACAAUUAUAUUCUUUUACGUUAACGACUUACUAUUGAGUAGAUGAGUAGUAUAUUUUACAUUACCAAAAUAUGAUAGCGUUACUUGUCUUACCCUAAUUUUAUAUAUCAUCGAAGAUACGUAUCCGCAGGAAUAACGAUUAUAGUCAGCACUACAGUGAAGUUACUAUACGUCUGUAGAUAACAAAGGUCCGCAAAGAGAUUUUAAAAACCGACACGAUGUUCAAUGUAUUUAAAUCUUCUCUCUCGAAAGAUGAACAAUAUACAAGAAUAUGUAACGGGAGUGAA